GACACCUCAAACACCACGCCUCUGUCCACAGCCUGCACACACACACACACACACACACACACACAGGACACACAGGUCACACACACACACAGGACACACAGGUCACUCACACACACACACACACACACACAGGACACACAGGUCACACACACACACAGGACACACAGGUCACUCACACACACACACACACACACACACACACACAGGUCACUCACACACACACACACACACACACACACACAGGUCACUCACACACACACACACACACACACACACACAGGACACACAGGUCACACACACACAGGACACACAGGUCACUCACACACACACACACACACACACAGGACACACAGGUCACACACACACACAGGUCACUCACACACACACACACACAGGUCACACACACACACAGGACACACAGGUCACUCACACACACCACACACACACACACACACAGGACACACAGGUCACACACACACACAGGACACACAGGUCACUCACACACACACACCACACACACACACACACACACACCACACACACACACACACACACACACACACACACACACACCCCUCUAAUGAUGCAUGUUUGUUUGAACUGGAGAUGAUCUUUAUGUGUAAAUACAGCAUCAGUGUCCCUGAGUCCCCCCAAAGCCUCUCCAGCAGCUUCCAUCCCAUCUCCUCAGCUUCCAUCCCAUCUCCUCAGCCCCCCUCCCAUCCCAUCUCCUCAGCUUCCAUCCCAUCUCCUCAGCCCCCCUCCCCUCCCAUCUCCUCAGCUCAUCCAUCCCAUCUCUCAGCUUCCAUCCCAUCCCAUCUCCUCCGCUUCCAUCCCAUCUCCUCAGCUCCCAUCCCAUCCCAUCUCCUCAGCUUUCCAUCCCAUCCCAUCUCCUCAGCUUCCAUCCCAUCCCAUCUCCUCAGCUUCCAUCCCAUCCCAUCUCCUCAGCUUCCAUCCCAUCCCAUCUCCUCAGCUUCCAUCCCAUCUCCUCAGCUUCCAUCCCAUCCCAUCUCCUCAGCUUCCAUCCCAUCCCAUCUCCUCAGCUUCCAUCCCAUCCCAUCUCCUCCCCUCCCAUCCCAUCCCAUCUCCUCCCCUCCCAUCCCAUCUCCUCUCCUCCCAUCCCAUCUC
RNAcentral lists this long non-coding RNA (1125 nucleotides) under Takifugu rubripes (torafugu). RNAcentral describes it as "lncRNA (ENSTRUG00000027563.1)". The record is from RNAcentral. Lineage: Eukaryota; Metazoa; Chordata; Actinopteri; Tetraodontiformes; Tetraodontidae.